GAACGCUAGCUACAGGCUUAACACAUGCAAGUCUUUGGGCAUCAGGAAGAAAGCUUGCUUUCUUUGCUGGCGACCGGCGCACGGGUGAGUAACACGUAUCCAACCUGCCCUUUACUCGGGGAUAGCCUUUCGAAAGAAAGAUUAAUACCCGAUAGCAUAAUGAUUCCGCAUGGUUUCAUUAUUAAAGGAUUCCGGUAAAGGAUGGGGAUGCGUUCCAUUAGGUUGUUGGUGAGGUAACGGCCCACCAAGCCUUCGAUGGAUAGGGGUUCUGAGAGGAAGGUCCCCCACAUUGGAACUGAGACACGGUCCAAACUCCUACGGGAGGCAGCAGUGAGGAAUAUUGGUCAAUGGGCGCUAGCCUGAACCAGCCAAGUAGCGUGAAGGAUGAAGGCUCUAUGGGUCGUAAACUUCUUUUAUAUAAGAAUAAAGUGCAGUAUGUAUACUGUUUUGUAUGUAUUAUAUGAAUAAGGAUCGGCUAACUCCGUGCCAGCAGCCGCGGUAAUACGGAGGAUCCGAGCGUUAUCCGGAUUUAUUGGGUUUAAAGGGAGCGUAGGUGGACUGGUAAGUCAGUUGUGAAAGUUUGCGGCUCAACCGUAAAAUUGCAGUUGAUACUGUCAGUCUUGAGUACAGUAGAGGUGGGCGGAAUUCGUGGUGUAGCGGUGAAAUGCUUAGAUAUCACGAAGAACUCCGAUUGCGAAGGCAGCUCACUGGACUGCAACUGACACUGAUGCUCGAAAGUGUGGGUAUCAAACAGGAUUAGAUACCCUGGUAGUCCACACAGUAAAACGAUGAAUACUCGCUGUUUGCGAUAUACAGUAAGCGGCCCAAGCGAAAGCAUUAAGUAUUCCACCUGGGGAGUACGCCGGCAACGGUGAAACUCAAAGGAAUUGACGGGGGCCCGCACAAGCGGAGGAACAUGUGGUUUAAUUCGAUGAUACGCGAGGAACCUUACCCGGGCUUAAAUUGCAGUGGAAUGAUGUGGAAACAUGUCAGUGAGCAAUCACCGCUGUGAAGGUGCUGCAUGGUUGUCGUCAGCUCGUGCCGUGAGGUGUCGGCUUAAGUGCCAUAACGAGCGCAACCCUUAUCUUUAGUUACUAACAGGUUAUGCUGAGGACUCUAGAGAGACUGCCGUCGUAAGAUGUGAGGAAGGUGGGGAUGACGUCAAAUCAGCACGGCCCUUACGUCCGGGGCUACACACGUGUUACAAUGGGGGGUACAGAAGGCAGCUAGCGGGUGACCGUAUGCUAAUCCCAAAAUCCUCUCUCAGUUCGGAUCGAAGUCUGCAACCCGACUUCGUGAAGCUGGAUUCGCUAGUAAUCGCGCAUCAGCCACGGCGCGGUGAAUACGUUCCCGGGCCUUGUACACACCGCCCGUCAAGCCAUGGGAGCCGGGGGUACAUGAAGUACGUAACCGCAAGGAUCGUCCUAGGGUAAAACUGG
This 1439-nucleotide ribosomal RNA is filed under the name uncultured organism. RNAcentral's name for it is "16S ribosomal RNA". It matches the Rfam family "Bacterial small subunit ribosomal RNA". The record is from RNAcentral.